ACGCUCGACACCUACUGGAGGCAGCAGUGGGGAAUAUUGCACAAUGGGGGAAACCCUGAUGCAGCAACGCCGCGUGAAGGAAGACGGUUUUCGGAUUGUAAACUUCUGUUCUUAGUGAAGAUAGUGACGGUAGCUAAGGAGCAAGCCACGGCUAACUACGUGCCCGCAGCCGCGGUAAUCUGAGCGGGCUGGCAAGGC
Molecule: ribosomal RNA, 198 nt
Filed under: uncultured bacterium
Lineage: Bacteria
Description: partial 16S ribosomal RNA
Rfam family: Bacterial small subunit ribosomal RNA
Source: RNAcentral